RNAcentral lists this unclassified non-coding RNA (290 nucleotides) under uncultured Agaricales. Its description in RNAcentral is "sequence contains 5.8S rRNA gene, ITS2, 28S rRNA gene". The stretch from base 1 to 52 matches the Rfam family "5.8S ribosomal RNA", at positions 103 to 154 of the family's 154-position model. The record is from RNAcentral. Lineage: Eukaryota; Fungi; Basidiomycota; Agaricomycetes; Agaricales.
AACGCAUCUUGCGCUCUUUGGUAUUCCAAAGAGCAUGCCUGUUUGAGUGUCAUUAAAUUCUCAACUGUACCAAUCCUGUUGGUGUAGCUUGGAUUUGGGGGACCAUUUGCAGGCCUUUCAAUUGAACAAAGCCAGCUCCUCUGAAAUUGAUUAGUGGUACCUUUGUGGAACCAAAGGCAUGAUAAAUAUCUAUGCCUUAGAUGUCCACAGCAAUAGGUUAUGCUGCUUCUAAUUAACUGAUUAAUGACAAAAUUGACCUCAAAUCAGGUAGGACUACCCGCUGAACUUAA